AUGGAACAUGAGGCCAUGGAUGACAUGGAAGUAGAUAAUGCAGAGAACGAACAUGAGGAUGUUUCUGACCCUCGAGAUUUGGCAUUACUUAUGCGAUGGCACAUGGGGCUAGAUGAGGAUGAUGGCCCCCCUGAAGACUUCGAGGAUGAAUGUAUGAACGGGCGUGAUAGCGAUGAUGAAAGCCCUGAUCCAAAAGAUGGGGAUGAGGCGUGUGAGGAGGAGGGCGAGGAGGAUUUUGCGGUGGAGGUGGUGGAGGAUGAGGAGGAGGAGGUGGUGGAGGACGACGCCGCUGAGAGGAGGCUGGUUGUUCGUCAGGUUUCUAAGGGUGGGGAUAGACCCUCACGGGUGACAGAGCACCACGAGCUUCCAAGAUGUCCAUAUGUGCAUAGAGACGUGUUGAUUAAACCAAUGGGAGAGAAAAGCUUAGUAAAAGGUGGUGAGAGGCGUCUGCCACGGUCGCCGAGUGGCAUCAUUGGGGGUAUUUGUAGGUUAAAUUGUCCUGGACUGGUCACUUUGCCGAAUGGUAUCAUUGAGCCAGCUUGGUCAUGGGAUCACUACAAACUUGCACCGGAUUUCCUGGAUAUGCAUCAUAGGUUUUAUGAUAACAGAGCCAUGAGAGUGGUCAACGAUUUCUGGGAUUUCUAUACAUGCGUUGAGGGUCAGAAGGAUCGUGCAAAUGUGGUGGUUGAGAAUAUUGCCAAGAAACUAGUCCUCGACAUGCUCUAUGAGGAGCGCGUCUGAAAGAAGACACUGGCAAGGAUAUCACUUACUUCGAGGCAUGGACCAUCAAACAUACCAAAGACAACAAGGACAAGGACCCUCUCCACCCGAAGAUGGACUAGAUCAGCUCUAAAGCCCGGCGGUAGACCGAAUGGCCAGAUGGCGGUUCACCUUGAUUCUGUCAUAACCUCCUUCCUUCCGAGAGUCAACACGCUCCGUGCUAUGAGUACUGGCUCUACUCCUACCGUAGAGCAUCACGUACCACAUUCUGUGAGCAUUAUUGAGGAUAUUCAUACUCAACUUAUUGACACCGAGAAAGAACGAGAUGAAAACCGGGCCAAGCUGAAGGCACAAGAUGAUCUAGUGAAGUCUUUACAACAUAUGGUGGCCAAUCUUUAUUCCAUGCAAGGCCAACCAGUGCCAGAGAUGCCACCGACGCCAGAGUGGAACAUUCUCAACCCAUCACAAGGGUCGAACAAUGUUCCGGUAGUUCCACCUCAAGUUGGUGGAGUUGGGGUAGCAAAGGGAAUGAUGCCUUCUAAUGUUGAUGUUAUCACUCUGGUUGAUGGAGUUGGGGCAGCAAACGAAAUGAUGCCUUCUAAUGUUGAUGUUAUCACUCCGAUCUCCAAAAUCGCGUGA
RNAcentral lists this ribosomal RNA (1359 nucleotides) under Triticum aestivum (bread wheat). Its description in RNAcentral is "partial small subunit ribosomal RNA". Lineage: Eukaryota; Viridiplantae; Streptophyta; Magnoliopsida; Poales; Poaceae. The record is from RNAcentral.